RNAcentral lists this ribosomal RNA (401 nucleotides) under uncultured bacterium. Its description in RNAcentral is "bacterial SSU rRNA". It matches the Rfam family "Bacterial small subunit ribosomal RNA", at positions 355 to 773 of the family's 1533-position model. The record is from RNAcentral.
UGGGGAAUAUUGGACAAUGGGCGAAAGCCUGAUCCAGCAAUGCCGCGUGAGUGAUGAAGGCCUUAGGGUUGUAAAGCUCUUUUACCCGGGAUGAUAAUGACAGUACCGGGAGAAUAAGCCCCGGCUAACUCCGUGCCAGCAGCCGCGGUAAUACGGAGGGGGCUAGCGUUGUUCGGAAUUACUGGGCGUAAAGCGCACGUAGGCGGCUUUGUAAGUUAGAGGUGAAAGCCCGGAGCUCAACUCCGGAAUUGCCUUUAAGACUGCAUCGCUUGAAUCAUGGAGAGGUGAGUGGAAUUCCCAGUGUAGCGGUGAAAUGCGUAGAUAUUGGGAGGAACACCAGUGGCGAAGGCGGCUCACUGGACCGGUUCUGACGCUGAGGCGCGAAAGCGUGGGGAGCAAAC